AUUGCAGAAUCCCGUGAACCAUCGAGUCUUUGAACGCAAGUUGCGCCUGAAGCCAUUAGGCUGAAGGCACGUCUGCCUGGGCGUCACGC
This 89-nucleotide ribosomal RNA is filed under the name Monotoca scoparia. RNAcentral describes it as "partial 5.8S ribosomal RNA". It matches the Rfam family "5.8S ribosomal RNA", at positions 71 to 154 of the family's 154-position model. From Rfam's summary of the family: 5.8S ribosomal RNA (5.8S rRNA) is a component of the large subunit of the eukaryotic ribosome. It is transcribed by RNA polymerase I as part of the 45S precursor that also contains 18S and 28S rRNA. Lineage: Eukaryota; Viridiplantae; Streptophyta; Magnoliopsida; Ericales; Ericaceae. The record is from RNAcentral. RNAcentral also lists the same sequence under 1 other name.